UCCAUGCAGGAAUUCUGCCACACUGCCAC
Molecule: non-coding RNA, 29 nt
Filed under: Rattus norvegicus (Norway rat)
Lineage: Eukaryota; Metazoa; Chordata; Mammalia; Rodentia; Muridae
Source: RNAcentral